GGCUCCCACCACAGUCCUGUCCUUGAGGCUGAGGUAGUAGAUUGAAUAGUUGUGGGGUCACGGCCUCCCUGUGUGCUAACUAUACAAUCUACUGUCUUUCCUGAGGCGACAGUCAGUUCGCC
Non-coding RNA from Ornithorhynchus anatinus (platypus), 122 nucleotides. RefSeq annotates it as microRNA let-7e. NCBI's taxonomy places the organism in Eukaryota, Metazoa, Chordata, Mammalia, Monotremata, Ornithorhynchidae. The transcript has a single exon. The record is from RefSeq and is marked provisional.